This is a long non-coding RNA of Coregonus clupeaformis (lake whitefish), 2242 nucleotides long. RefSeq lists it as uncharacterized. NCBI's taxonomy places the organism in Eukaryota, Metazoa, Chordata, Actinopteri, Salmoniformes, Salmonidae. The record is from RefSeq and is a predicted model, not a curated record. The transcript has 3 exons.
CAGUCCUUGCGUUCUGCUGUGUUCUGCCAGGUAUAAUGUGAGUCUGCUGGAGUGGCUGCGGAGCCGUGGGCUGCAGGCAGGGGGAGCUGUGGCCAUGUUGGAGCCUCUCACCCAGGCCGCUCAGCUCCUGCAAGUGGGCAAGAAGACUGACGCUGAUGCGCAGGCCCUCGUUCAUACCUGCGCUGCCUUGGUGGUUUUUAAGCUGGUAUUGAUUGUGAAGAUUCUGACCUAGAGGAGAGGGUGACACUCAUUUUUAUCUGCACAGUGCAGGGUCAGCCUCCACAGCUGCUGAUGGACAUAUGGCAUGUGUUCCCCUACCUGCCGCCCCAGACCGUCCACGCUGACCAGCUGGACAUCCCAGACUCCCUCAAGAUGUGUUACUGUGACGGGCCUGAGAGGAAGCAGUAGUUAUACAGGUCUUUCACUGUGGAUUACAAGUCUUGGUACUGCUGCAUCAGGUCUUUUUCCUGCAGGAUAUACAGUAUAUCAAAGUAAUACGUGAAUAUAUAUGUGUAAUUGUCUUAUUUUGUAUUAGGCAUUACUCUUUCUUUCAGUAGCACAUGCUACUGUUCUUCUGAUUGGGCUGUUAGAAUGGUCAUAUGGAUUUUCUUAUCUGUUUCAUAGUAUUGAUUUUUGACACAAAGAUUUCCUUAUCUGUACUAUUACAGUAUUUCCUGUCUGCUGAUAGACAUUUCCUUAUUCGAGGCAUCACACCUACCUCAGUGCCUACCUAGGUGUAUUUUUCUACUGUGAAAGUUUGUACAUUGGAAAUGUGUGCUUAAUACAUUUAGAAAUUGGUAAUAUGUUCCAGAUAUCAGAAUACACUAUUAUAAUUGUACAAUAUAAACAUAAUAUUGUAAAUAUGUUUUUCACUCUGAUCCAUAUGGACACUAUGAAAAUGAGAGAUUUUCUCUAACAUUUUAUUGGAACAGAAACACAGCAAUGCUGCAAUCCCCCCCCCACCCCAAUAAGAACACCCAGACUUCAGUAUAAAAAAAAUCCUCUCUUGCGAGUAUUAUGUAACAGUUACACAUCAUCAUCAGCAAUACAUAUAAAUAUAUUCACAAACAUCUGCAUUUUUACAAAUAAUACUAAGAUGUCAAAAUAAAUGAAGAAGACAACAAUUGCCAAAUAUAACAUCAAAUAAACACAUGCUGGCACAAUAAAUGUUUUUCCCAUUAUGCACUGAUUCCUAUGUACAAGGCUGGCAUCACUGUGUGGUCGUGUUCGAAGAUGGACUACAUUUCAGUCGGCGACUGCAGACUGACUGAUCUACAAAUCAUCAUCCUAAUCAACUACUCAUUAUUAUUUGUAAAUCAGUCAAUUGAUGCUCUUGAACAUGGCCAAUGUGUCUGCCUGUGUAGGUGUGUCAGUGACAGUACAUGCGUGUCUGUCUGGUUAUCAUUGCACUUCUUCUAUAGCUCUGUACCAUGCCUCCGUGCCUGUCUGUCCUACAUACAUGCAAACCUGAAAGGGUGUGAUUUCCUUUUUACCUCAACGCACAGACACUAAACGUCUGAAAAAGAAUGGUCUCAGUGACCGAAUAUACUUAGUAUCAUUGUCAACAGCAAUACAUAUGAUAUUGUGCCAUUCAUUGCUACAGCUGCAAUACCUGUACGUUAAUACAGGCACAGUACAGCAGUCUGUGAGGCUGUGUAUUCGUGGCCUAUAGACUCCUAUCCCAUUAGAUGCAAAGCUAUCUCAGUCAUCUAUCUAUGGCAAGUGUCACUGGAGAGGGCAGGACUGGUACUAUAGCCUUGUGGACAGGCUGUGUGUGCACAAAACCUGGACCAGACAGCCUGGUAAGAGGCCAUUUUAGGUAAAUGUGGUAAUGUCUAGGUUAUGUGUGCCUGCCCCAGCAGAGGGGAAUAAAGAGACCGUGGGGGUCACAUGUGGCCUGACAUCUUCAUUUGAUAAGAGGUUGCUAUGGCAACACAAGCGGUAAGAAACGUCUCUGUCUUUUGUCUCUAAACGCUCUCCUCCACACUGACACAUAUCGAUCAGAGAGGUUGAAGGAGAGAGAGGAGGUGGCUGUUUUCCAAGGCAAACAAAUGGAGCUCUGUUCAUACACUGUACAGCCCACGGAAUGUUUCUGAUCAAACGAGCAAUAAACCAAAGUAAAAGACACAAAUAGGGAACACUGGUGUCUACACGAGGUCAACGUUGUAGUAUUAUAAACUGGGUGGUUCGAGCCCUGAAUGCUGAUUGGCUGAAAGCCGUGGUAUAUGAGACCGUAUACCAU